GAUGAACGCUGGCGGCGUGCCUAAUACAUGCAAGUCGAGCGAACAGAUAAGGAGCUUGCUCCUUUGACGUUAGCGGCGGACGGGUGAAUAACACGUGGAUAACCUACCUAUACGACUGGAAUAACUCCGGGAAACCGGGGCUAAUGCCGGAUAACAUUUAGCACCGCAGUGUUCUAAAGUGAGUGUUGGUUUUGCUAUCACUUCUCGAUGGACCCGCGCCGUAUUAGCUGGUUGGUAAGUUAACGGCUUAUCAAGGCAACGAUACGUAGCCGACCUGAUAGAGUGAUCGGCCACCUUGGAACUGAGACACGGUCCAGACUCCUACGAGAGGCAGCAGUAGGGAAUCUUCCGCAAUGGGCGAAAGCCUGACGGAGCAACGCCGCGUGAGUGAUGAAGGUCUUCGGAUCGUAAAACUCUGUUAUUAGGUAAGAACAAAUGUGUAAGUAACUGUGCACGUCUUGACGGUACCUAAUCAGAAAGCCACGGCUAACUACGUG
Molecule: ribosomal RNA, 497 nt
Filed under: uncultured bacterium
Lineage: Bacteria
Description: partial 16S ribosomal RNA
Rfam family: Bacterial small subunit ribosomal RNA
Source: RNAcentral